GACAGUCUCUACGGAGACUG
RNAcentral lists this unclassified non-coding RNA (20 nucleotides) under synthetic construct. The record is from RNAcentral.